RNAcentral lists this ribosomal RNA (490 nucleotides) under uncultured bacterium. Its description in RNAcentral is "partial 16S ribosomal RNA". It matches the Rfam family "Bacterial small subunit ribosomal RNA", at positions 30 to 507 of the family's 1533-position model. The record is from RNAcentral.
AUUGAACGCUGGCGGCAUGCUUUACACAUGCAAGUCGAACGGCAGCGGGGUAGUGCUUGCACUACUGCCGGCCAGUGGCGAACGGGUGAGUAAUAUAUCGGAACGUACCGAGUAAUGGGGGAUAACCAAUCGAAAGAUUGGCUAAUACCGCAUACGUCCUGAGGGAGAAAGCGGGGGAUCGCAAGACCUCGCGUUAUUCGAGCGGCCGAUAACUGAUUAGCUAGUUGGUGGGGUAAAGGCCUACCGAGGCGACGAUCAGUAGCGGGUCUGAGAGGACGUUCCGCCACACUGGGACUGAGACACGGACCAGACUCCUACGGGAGGCAGCAGUGGGGAAUUUUGGACAAUGGGGGCAACCCUGAUCCAGCCAUGCCGCGUGUAUGAAGAAGGCCUUCGGGUUGUAAAGUACUUUUGUUAGGGAAGAAAAGGGAAGUGCUAAUACCACUUUUUGCUGACGGUACCUAAAGAAUAAGCACCGGCUAACUACGUG